ACUCCUACGGGAGGCAGCAGUGGGGAAUAUUGCACAAUGGGCGCAAGCCUGAUGCAGCAACGCCGCGUGAGGGACGACGGCCUUCGGGUUGUAAACCUCUUUUAGUAGGGAAGAAGCGAAAGUGACGGUACCUGCAGAAAAAGCACCGGCUAACUACGUGCCAGCAGCCGCGGUAAUACGUAGGGUGCAAGCGUUAUCCGGAAUUAUUGGGCGUAAAGAGCUCGUAGGCGGUUUGUCGCGUCUGCUGUGAAAACUGGAGGCUCAACCUCCAGCCUGCAGUGGGUACGGGCAGACUAGAGUGCGGUAGGGGAGAUUGGAAUUCCUGGUGUAGCGGUGGAAUGCGCAGAUAUCAGGAGGAACACCGAUGGCGAAGGCAGAUCUCUGGGCCGUAACUGACGCUGAGGAGCGAAAGCAUGGGGAGCGAACAGGAUUAGAUACCCUGGUAGUCCAUGCCGUAAACGUUGGGAACUAGAUGUAGGGACCAUUCCACGGUUUCUGUGUCGCAGCUAACGCAUUAAGUUCCCCGCCUGGGGAGUACGGCCGCAAGGCUAAAACUCAAAGGAAUUGACGGGGGCCCGCACAAGCGGCGGAGCAUGCGGAUUAAUUCGAUGCAACGCGAAGAACCUUACCAAGGCUUGACAUAUACCGGAAAAGUUCAGAAAUGUUCUCCCCGCAAGGUCGGUAUACAGGUGGUGCAUGGUUGUCGUCAGCUCGUGUCGUGAGAUGUUGGGUUAAGUCCCGCAACGAGCGCAACCCUCGUUCUAUGUUGCCAGCACGUAAUGGUGGGAACUCAUAGGAGACUGCCGGGGUCAACUCG
Molecule: ribosomal RNA, 817 nt
Filed under: uncultured Actinomycetes bacterium
Lineage: Bacteria; Bacillati; Actinomycetota; Actinomycetes
Description: bacterial SSU rRNA
Rfam family: Bacterial small subunit ribosomal RNA
Source: RNAcentral